This 301-nucleotide ribosomal RNA is filed under the name uncultured bacterium. RNAcentral describes it as "partial 16S ribosomal RNA". It matches the Rfam family "Bacterial small subunit ribosomal RNA", at positions 509 to 807 of the family's 1533-position model. The record is from RNAcentral.
CAGUCGCCACGGGAAUACGAAGGGGGCUAGCGUUGCUCGGAAUUACUGGGCGUAAAGGGAGCGUAGGCGGAUCGUUAAGUUGGGGGUGAAAGCCCGGGGCUCAACCUCGGAAUUGCCUUCAAUACUGGCGAUCUUGAGUAUGGAAGAGGUAUGUGGAACUCCGAGUGUAGAGGUGAAAUUCGUAGAUAUUCGGAAGAACACCAGUGGCGAAGGCGACAUACUGGUCCAUUACUGACGCUGAGGCUCGAAAGCGUGGGGAGCAAACAGGAUUAGAUACCCCCGUAGUCCCUGUCUCUUAUAC